This 790-nucleotide unclassified non-coding RNA is filed under the name Hevea brasiliensis (rubber tree). Lineage: Eukaryota; Viridiplantae; Streptophyta; Magnoliopsida; Malpighiales; Euphorbiaceae. The record is from RNAcentral.
CUUGAAGAAAUUUAUCCCCAUUUCAGGUGAUGUAACCAAGUCCAAUUGCUCACAUCCUUCUGGUAAUCCAGCCUCCACACAAGGGAAUUGGAUGAUUAGAAUGUCAAUUUUGUGACCCAUAAGUGUAUUUCUCUCUAUUGAUUUGCAUAAAACUGGGGCGUUGACAGGUGUGGUGAUUAUGCUUACCUUCAGGCCUCGCGAAGCAAAUAGUUUGGCCAUGUCUAUGAGGGGAAUGAUAUGGCCUUGAGCCAUGAAUGGGAAGAAGAAAACAUGAAGCUCAUGUCUUUUUUCACUGUCCAUUAGAUCUUGCAAAGAUGAUCUAACUGAAAGCUUAUUAAGCUAAAAUUUUGUUCCAAGAAAGAAGUCUUAAAAGGGUUGAGCUACAGAUUUGGAAAGGAAAUUCUUGCCUUUUGAUUUCCUUAUCAAGUGCCGUCCUCAAUCCUCUUGAAUAACAUCCGCCAGAUCAUGUUGACAUGACAUCAUCAAUCUGACAAAAGUAAAAAUGGCCGUCCGUUAGAUCAUGUAAAUUUGCGUCAUUACCUGUAAUACGGAUGUAGGCAACGACACGCAACCCCUAAGUUAAUUAUCCCCUCCAUCAAUGACCAGAAAAGGGUAGGAUCCUGCGAAAGUGGACAUGUGGUCUUGUGGGGUGAUUGUUGUUUGUGGUAAUGGCUGGUUACUUGCUAUUCCGUGAACAAAAUAUCAUGGUGAUGUACAAGAUCUAUAACGGCGAGUUUCUGUGUCCUACAUGGUUCUCUUUGGAACUCAUUAGAAUCCUUUCGAAGCUUCU